UGCAAUUGUUUUGCUUGUUAC
RNAcentral lists this non-coding RNA (21 nucleotides) under Caenorhabditis elegans. Lineage: Eukaryota; Metazoa; Nematoda; Chromadorea; Rhabditida; Rhabditidae. The record is from RNAcentral.